CGGAGGCGGGGGCGGGCGCGGCGGAGGCGGGGCCCGCGCCGGGCCCGCCCGCUCGCCGGGGGAGCCGCCGGCAGUGGCCGAGAAGGCGGCGCGGCGGACGGCGGCCCGAGAGUAGCGCCCGCGCUGCGGCCCGCGGGACCGCGCCGCGACCGCCGGGGCCGGCCUCGAGGAGCGCCCGCUGCCGCCGCCGCCGCGCGCGGAGCGAGGUCGGGGCAUAGACGGCUCUUGGUGGACGUGGCAGCUCCAUGGGACUCUGGGACCUUGGUGGCUCCAGCUCUCUUCUCUGCCUUCCCGGGGUCGAGUCUUCAUCCUCGUGGCCUGAGCUGUCACAUUCACAUUCCACAAAGCAGGAUGGAGGAAGAACAGAAGAGGAUGCACGUUGUCGUUGUCAGUUGCUAAGUUGUGUCCGACCCCAUGGACUGCAGCAC
Molecule: long non-coding RNA, 428 nt
Organism: Bos taurus (domestic cattle)
Lineage: Eukaryota; Metazoa; Chordata; Mammalia; Artiodactyla; Bovidae
Source: Ensembl